UACGGAGGGGGCUAGCGUUGUUCGGAAUUACUGGGCGUAAAGCGCACGUAGGCGGAUCAGCAAGUCAGGGGUGAAAUCCCGGGGCUCAACCCCGGAACUGCCUUUGAUACUGUUGGUCUGGAGGUCGAGAGAGGCGAGUGGAAUUCCGAGUGUAGAGGUGAAAUUCGUAGAUAUUCGGAGGAACACCAGUGGCGAAGGCGGCUCGCUGGCUCGAUACUGACGCUGAGGUGCGAAAGCGUGGGGAGCAAACAGG
Molecule: ribosomal RNA, 253 nt
Filed under: uncultured bacterium
Lineage: Bacteria
Description: partial 16S ribosomal RNA
Rfam family: Bacterial small subunit ribosomal RNA
Source: RNAcentral